UUGGGGGUGGCAAUGGGAAGCCGUGAUGCGGAGCGAAAUAAAGUAGCGAAGUCCGUGAGCCAUGCGUCAAGAAAAGCCGCUAUUGUUUAUACCGUACCCGUACCGUAAACCGACACAGGUGGAUGAGGAGAGAAUCCUAAGGCCGGCGGAAGAAGCAUUGUCAAGGAACUCGGCAAAAUGGCCCCGUAACUUAGGGAUAAGGGGUGCCUGGGAAACCAGGCCGCAGAGAAUAGGCUCAAGCAACUGUUUAGCAAAAACACAGGUCUAUGCGAAACCGAAAGGUGAGGUAUAUGGGCUGACGCCUGCCCGGUGCUGGAAGGUUAAGAGGAGAGGUUAGCGCAAGCGAAGCUUUGAAUCUGAGCCCCAGUAAACGGCGGCCGUAACAAUAACGGUCCUAAGGUAGCGAAAUUCCUUGUCGGGUAAGUUCCGACCCGCACGAAAGGCGUAAUGAUUUGAGCGCUGUCUCGACAAUGCAUCCGGUGAAAUUGAAGUACCAGUGAAGAUGCUGGUUACCUGCGCCAGGACGGAAAGACCCCAUGGAGCUUUACUCCAGUCUGGUACUGGGACUCGGUAUUGCAUGUACAGGAUAGGUGGGAGGCUAGGAGAUGGUAACGCCAGUUGCCAUGGAGCCGCUGUUGGGAUACCACCCUUGCAGUAUUGGGUUUCUAACCAGCCGCCGUGACCCGGCGGCGGGACAAUGCCAGACGGGGAGUUUGACUGGGGCGGUCGCCUCCGAAAGGGUAUCGGAGGCGCCCAAAGGUUCCCUCAGAAUGGACGGAAACCAUUCGAAGAGUGCAAAGGCAGAAGGGAGCUUGACUGCGACACCGACGGGUGGAGCAGGUACGAAAGUAGGGCUUAGUGAUCCGGUGGUAUUAAGUGGGAAUGCCAUCGCUCAACGGAUAAAAGCUACCCUGGGAUAACAGGCUUAUCACUCCCAAGAGUUCACAUCGACGGAGUGGUUUGGCACCUCGAUGUCGGCUCAUCGCAUCCUGGGGCUGUAGUAGGUCCCAAGGGUUGGGCUGUUCGCCCAUUAAAGCGGUACGCGAGCUGGGUUCAGAACGUCGUGAGACAGUUCGGUCCCUAUCCGGCGUGGGCGUAGGAUAUCUGAGAGGAGCUGUCCUUAGUACGAGAGGACCGGGAUGGACGGGCCGCUGGUGCAUCGGUUAGACUGCCAAGUCUACGGCCGAGUAGCCAAGCCCGGAAGGGAUAAACGCUGAAGGCAUCUAAGCGUGAAGCCCCCCUUAAGAUGAGAUAUCCCAUUCGAAAGAAGUAAACCCCCUUGAAGACGACGAGGUAGAUAGGGCAGAGGUGGAAGUGCAGCAAUGCAUGGAGCUGACUGUUACUAAUCGGGUGAGGGCUUGACCUA
RNAcentral lists this ribosomal RNA (1366 nucleotides) under metagenome. RNAcentral's name for it is "bacterial LSU rRNA". It matches the Rfam family "Bacterial large subunit ribosomal RNA", at positions 1541 to 2925 of the family's 2925-position model. The record is from RNAcentral.